UUGAAACAUGAUUGAGAUAGAAUUUCUAGUUACCUAAGCAUGUGAGGGGCUCAGAGCCAGAUCUAAUUGGAUUUUUUUUCCUAAAGGAAGUAACAUUUUUUUUCUUUUUUUUUUUUGUCAACUGAACGUUGAGGAGCAAAUCUGUAGCCACUCCAUGUUUUUCUUGGAUUCCCCUGCAAAGACCUCACCGUGUCCUGGACACUUCCUGAUCCUCAUCUUCUCAUGUCAGCCCUCAGCUCUUGCUCAGAAUGGCAGCACGGGAACCCAGUCGUUACCUCCCACCCACCCAGCUCACUGCACAGGACACGCGGACAGUAGCAGUCAUUGCGGGAGCCACUGCGCUUAACAUCAACAACUGGGCCAGUGUUUCCAAAGUGACCGUGAUGCAUCAAAGCUGAAAGUGGCCCCAGGAAGGAACCCAGCACGCUGGUUUACGGCUCCCACACCUCAGCAAAGCUAUGAAGUAGAUGCGGGUACCAUCUCUUUCCAUGAUGAGAGAGCUGAUGAAUGUCACACAGUCUGUGAGUGGCUGAAGGUGGCCCUUUCACAUCAGGAAUCACCCACAUAAAGUCAUCCCUUCCAAGGCUCUGUGUGAUGUGCCUCAACCUCUUCCACUCAGAAACCCUGCCCUCCAGAGGGCAGCAGAUGUCUCCCAACGUGAAGACCAGAAGAAGAGCGAUGGUGUGGGUGCCCCCCAUAUGAGCAAAAAGGCCCGUCGUGCUUCAGGAGGAGAAGAGAGAGCAGCUAAACGGGAUAAAGGCCACACCGGCCCUCCUCAUCUAGAGCACUCCAGAUGGAGAGUGUUAGGUGACUUGAACAUAAAGAAUGGACAGCUUUGCUCCUCCUGGGCACGGGGUACCUGGAUGACCAUGAGCAAGACCUUUGACGUUUUCUCCCUAGUCCUCCAUUUGAUAUUUAUGGCAGGAAUACAACAUUUGAAGCCUCUCAAAUGUUCCUAAUGAUGCCAACGGACAUUUAAAGGGGGUCACUAUAGCUUCUCCUAGGAAUACAUAAAAGCCCUGGGCAACCAGGCUUCCCAAGGCAUCCGGCACAAGGAAGGUUUUAUCUGAACAUUAGCAGAAAAUGAAUGCCAGGCCCUUUAUUGGGCAAAGACCAAUGUGCCUCCAGGCCGUGCCUGCCCUCAGGCCUCUGAACAUUCCAAAUGGGGAAACAUCCCAGGCUCAGCAAAGAAGCUGGCACUCCUUGUUCAGAAGGCCAGGUUUCUCCGGGGAAAACUUGUAGAAAGGAGAAUUUUUUUACCCCCAUCCUCUGCUGGUGUGGGUGGCUGGAGGCCUGCCUUUACUGAAUGUCUUGUAUGUCAGUUGUAAGCACAGCUGGCAUAUGAACGGAUUCUGUAUGACUCUGCUGUGCAUGUGCGCACGGGAGAGGCACAGGUCAAGAGGGAAGACAGUGUAUGUCUAUUACUCAGCUUUAUGCAUCUAAUAUCACAGGCAAAUAUGGACACCUGGAGACUAUCAAACCCAAAUUAGAAACUCAUUGGAAGAAAAGGACAGUGUUUGCACAGAUCACCCAUAAAUCUUCAAUAACUAACUCUCCUUGGGCAUAACAUCAAAUGUUCACUUUCUUUUUAGUGUCUCAUUAGGAAGAAAAUUUAUUGCCCAACUAUUGAACUAUGUCAAUUCUUUAAAAACAUUGUGUGAAUAUUCCCAGGAACCACAUGGUUGAUUUUACAUUAGCUUUCUGUCACUGAACAGGAAAAGGCUUUGUCUUUCCAAUGAUGAAAUGACACUAAUCAUGAAAUUAGAGGAGAUAGCAUGUACUCAGUGGGAAGCGACAGCAGUUUCCCAUAAAUGUAUCAUAGCCCUGGCUCCUUUUGAUAAGUUGGAAUGAUGUCACUCCCUGCAGCCCAGACCAGGGCACACUCCACUUCCCCUGCUCUCCCCACCCCCAGCACCUCCUCCCCUAUCUCACAGUGGGUCCAAAGGGAAGGCUUCAGAGGAACCGAAUUCUUAUGCUGGGGUGUGUUUUCCAGCUGUGCUUGCUCGCCUGCCUUGGUGGGAAGAGCCUGCAAAGGACCAGGAAGGAAAAGAAAAACGUUAAAGAAAAAUCAAUGAAUUGCAUAUGGUGCCCGUUAAAAAUAAUAAAUAGGCCAGAAGAUGAAGGGCUGAGCUUACACAUGUGAACCUGUCUCUGCCGGGACCCUGGCAUCCAGAGCGAGCAGGAGGGGCUGCUUCCUGUUCGGAUUGUCCUGCCUCAGACCAGAGCAGAGUGGCAAGAGCUUCUCUGAGCAGCUGGGAGAGAGAAGGGGCGGGGGUGGGAGCAGAGACUUGAGGGUUUACCUGGCCCUAGUCCCCGUCUUCUCUGCGGGCUCUUCUGACAGGAGACUAUCUUGACCACAGGGCCUCCAGUCAAGGAAGAGGGAGACAUGCGAGUGACUCUUUGGAGAAUCAGAGGGGCGUGGGAGCAAGAUUCUGUAACACUGAGACCCAAGCCUCCACUCACAGCUGGAAAUGAGACUGGCUGAGUUUAGUUCAUGGCCCAAUGUAUAGUCUUCUUCCCAGUUCUAUUGUGUUGUCCACGUUGUCUGUCUGUCUGUCUGUCUGUCUAUCUGUCCAUCCAUCUGAGACCCAUAAUACUCAUAUAGAACUAAGAUGGAGAAGAGUCUCUUCAAGAUGACUUGGAUGAUGCAUAUGGAAUUAGCCGUGAGCCUCAUUUCCCCUCCCACCUCAGAUUUAUAUUUUAGGUCUUUAGUUAAGGGUUCCUUGGAUGAGUGCCCCCUUUCCUUGCAAAAAUCAUCUGCCUCUCUCAAUAUGCUACUAAUACUGAUUUUCAUUUUUCAAUUAAUAUUUGAACAUCUACUUGGUUAAAGAGGCUGAGAGGUACAAGAAAAGGAUUUACAUGCAAAUAACCAGUAUCUGAAUAAGUAGAUACUAUUUUGAAAUUAGAUAUGUGUUUAGUGUGUGUAUGUGUGUGUUUACAUAUGUGUUUACGAAUGUGCUUUUUAAAUACUGUAUUAGUUUUUCAAAAUGCAGCAGAGCCUAAAAUGACUCAAAAUAUGA
Molecule: non-coding RNA, 3020 nt
Organism: Vicugna pacos (alpaca)
Lineage: Eukaryota; Metazoa; Chordata; Mammalia; Artiodactyla; Camelidae
Source: RefSeq, a predicted model, not a curated record